AUCUGUAUCAGUAUCAUGCAGUCUCAUGCCCUGAAUGGAGAGAAGCACCACUGCAGCCUUAAACUACCACGUGAGAUUCCGAGGUCAAAGGAAUGUGAUGCGUUUGUACCUUCGCGUUGAGCGUCCCGCCCUGUCAGAAAGCCCAGAUAAGAUACAUUUAUUUUACCUCUUGCUUACAUUUGUGCCUGACAGUGUCUGCAUUUGCAUGAGAAAUACAGAACCUAUCUAAAACUCGAAAUUUGAAGGUAUUAAUUUUGGAAGCGCGAAUGCUUAGACAAAGUGCCAAAAAUAUACGCUCGCUAAGAUAUGAUUUCCUUCCUAAUAUAAAAGUUGAUGUCUGUAUUUCUCCACAUUCUUGCCAAAGCAUGGGUAACACCCCGUUGCAACUGAGCCUAACCACACCCUUCCCCCUGCUUAUCAAAACUGAUGAGCCCUCCUCCUCCCCAGUUUGCCAUUUACUGGCCGCCAUCUUUACUCUUAUGCGCUCUGCCUAGCAACAGGCGCUGGGCGCCAUUUUUUGACGGGUACGUAGCAACCAAUUCCAUGUUACUAUAUCCAUUUAACCUUGGAAUCCAUCCAAUCACCGUGUUUUUUUUCCUUCUGCCUUUCUGAAUCCUCUGCAAUGUUAUACCUGUACUCGCUCUCCCACCGUGCGUUGGGCAGGGCGGGGGGUGGGGGCGCUUCGUCACACCCAGGCUUUGGUUUGAUGCAUCAUCGUAACCAUGUAUGACAUCUUGUGUAACUUACACUGUGCCACUCCCACAACGCCCUACCCCCGUGCUUCUCCGUGGAAUGUUUAGGUGCUCCGAGGUCGUGUCAGCGUUUUGACGGCGACACUUGUGCGGGCAGACGAGAGCAAGUGGGAUUUUAAUUGGAUCUAAAGGUUCUGGUUCCCAACGCCCUCCUCCAGGUCUAGCCAGCGGUGGUGGUGCCGGCUGGUCGGCCAGUGCCACACCCAGUUGUGCUUUCUUUUCAAUCACCCGGUUCUUUGUCCACUCCUUUUUUUUUCCAGGUCUCCUUGUUCCUGUCUUUCAUCUGUCUCUAGUCCUGCAGUUUCUGGCUUCCCCCCCUAUGGCUUCUCCAAGAUGGCCCCCUAAUCUCAGCCUUCUUACCAGUGGGGUUCUUGGUAGGGAGACUCUCCUCUGGAGUUGGGACUCACCUGACCACGCCUUGAUGUGGGAUCCACGAUCGGUUUCCGAGUCAACCGACAAUACGCACAGCGCCAUAUUAACCCUUGGACCUGUGCUCAACAGAGUGUAAACAAAGUUCCUACAAAGUGUGUAAUCAGCAGAUGUCUCCAUGGGGCGGCCCAACGCCACUUGGGCAUACCCUGCCUCUCCCCCUCCUCGCCAGGUCCAUUUUGGCUUUUUUUCUCUCUUUUUUUUAUUGUAUGUUUAUUCUUUCAAGCCGAGCAGCUAUGUUGAUUAGGCUCUUAAUGUGCCCCCAGGUUGUGAAUUCUGCUUUGCUCAGCCAAUGUGCAUCCAUAUGCCCAAAAGGAAUGCUCAAGUCCUCUUAGCAUAGGACACCCUAUCAUGCUAUACUGAUUUAAGCGAACAGAUGUUAAAUAAUUCAACAGUAAUUUUGACCUUUAUGAAGCGGAAGACACGGCAGUGGAAGGUCAAAGAACUCAAAGAAAUCGCCGGCCCUUGUUCAGUUCAAUAAUAAUUGGUUUUGCAAAUAUAUUUAUUUUUCCCGAAAUGUCUUUGUCCAAUCCAAAUUUUCCACAGAAUUCCAAGAAUAUGAUACGCAAUCCACAUCAAGCAUAACUCAAACUGAAAAAAGAACAGUUUCAUAAUGAUACGAGAUAAAAGGAUACAAGAUAAUUCAGUAACUAGGUAAUACCAUGAUCGAUAUCAAUAUUACAUGCAGUAGGAUUGUUUGGUAUGAGUGUCGACCCGGUCAACGUCCGAACAAUCUACCAUGCUUUGUAUGUUUUAAGGUAAACUACAACCUUAGAUUUUUUUAACAAUUACAAUACAAACAAUAAAAUAAAUAUAAUUUGACACUGGAUGCGUUUCAUUGACACCGCCUGUUCGCCUUCUUCUACUGAGAUACAAACAGUUAUUUUCAUCCAUAACAUGAUGAAAACAUUAAACAAGCAAAGUAACAAACAGAAAUGAUUAAUUAAUGCUGCGUAUUCAUUACAGAAAUGAGACUGUACACAUCAUUUGGAAAAACAUUAUCGUAUUUUAUCUGGGGUCAUAAAAGUCAUGGUAACUAUUGUUAUUUUAUACAAUAGCCUCGUGAAAGUACAGACAUGUACAUGCCAUUACAUUUAAUGUAAUGUUUGAUGGUGAUGACUAGCAAUUUAUUUUUUAUUGUAUAAUUGGCAAACAUAAUUUUUAUGUAGUGCAUGCAUAAAUCUAAACAGUGUGUGCGUGUGUGUGUCCGUUUAUGUGUGCGUGUUUUAUGUGUGUAUUGGCUAUGUAUGUAUUAAUGUGCGCUAACGUAUAUGUGAGUAUGUAUGUGUUUGGUGUUUCUGUUUGGUGCGAGUGUGUGUUGGUUUAUGUGUGUGUUCGCCUGUGUGUAUCUGUGUGUAUUGUGCAGUUGAUGAUAUUUGACUUGUGCACUCUGCAAGCAUUUUUCCUCCCCG
Gadus morhua (Atlantic cod) is the source of this 2593-nucleotide long non-coding RNA. RefSeq lists it as uncharacterized. The transcript is spliced from 4 exons. The record is from RefSeq and is a predicted model, not a curated record. NCBI's taxonomy places the organism in Eukaryota, Metazoa, Chordata, Actinopteri, Gadiformes, Gadidae.